AGCGAACGCUGGCGGCAGGCCUAACACAUGCAAGUCGAACGAACUCUUCGGAGUUAGUGGCGGACGGGUGAGUAACACGUGGGAACGUGCCUUUAGGUUCGGAAUAACUCAGGGAAACUUGUGCUAAUACCGAAUGUGCCCUUCGGGGGAAAGAUUUAUCGCCUUUAGAGCGGCCCGCGUCUGAUUAGCUAGUUGGUGAGGUAAAGGCUCACCAAGGCGACGUUCAGUAGCUGGUCUGAGAGGAUGAUCAGCCACAUUGGGACUGAGACACGGCCCGAACUCCUACGGGAGGCGGCAGUGGGGAAUCUUGCGCAAUGGGCGAAAGCCUGACGCAGCCAUGCCGCGUGAAUGAUGAAGGUCUUAGGAUUGUAAAAUUCUUUCACCGGGGACGAUAAUGACGGUACCCGGAGAAGAAGCCCCGGCUAACUUCGUGCCAGCAGCCGCCGUAA
This 449-nucleotide ribosomal RNA is filed under the name uncultured bacterium. Its description in RNAcentral is "partial 16S ribosomal RNA". It matches the Rfam family "Bacterial small subunit ribosomal RNA", at positions 29 to 523 of the family's 1533-position model. The record is from RNAcentral.